Molecule: ribosomal RNA, 424 nt
Filed under: uncultured bacterium
Lineage: Bacteria
Description: bacterial SSU rRNA
Rfam family: Bacterial small subunit ribosomal RNA
Source: RNAcentral
GGGGAAUUCUGGACAAUGGGCGCAAGCCUGAUCCAGCAAUGCCGCGUGAGUGAAGAAGGCCUUCGGGUUGUAAAGCUCUUUUGUCAGGGAAGAAACGGUGCGGACUAAUAUUCUGCGCUAAUGACGGUACCUGAAGAAUAAGCACCGGCUAACUACGUGCCAGCAGCCGCGGUAAUACGUAGGGUGCAAGCGUUAAUCGGAAUUACUGGGCGUAAAGUGUGCGCAGGCGGCCUCGCAAGUCGAGUGUGAAAUCCCCGGGCUUAACUUGGGAAUUGCGCUCGAAACUACGGGGCUGGAGUGUGGCAGAGGGGGGUGGAAUUCCACGUGUAGCGGUGAAAUGCGUAGAGAUGUGGAGGAACACCAAUGGCGAAGGCAGCCCCCUGGGCCAACACUGACGCUCAUGCACGAAAGCGUGGGGAGCAAA